Molecule: ribosomal RNA, 609 nt
Filed under: Curvibasidium cygneicollum
Lineage: Eukaryota; Fungi; Basidiomycota; Microbotryomycetes
Description: eukaryotic LSU rRNA
Rfam family: 5.8S ribosomal RNA (bases 179-332)
Source: RNAcentral
UCCGUAGGUGAACCUGCGGAAGGAUCAUUAGUGAAUUUAGAGCGUAACUUCGGUUAGCUCAACCUUCAUUUUCCAACUCUGUGCACUAUUGGCGGACUGGGAGCAAGUAAUUGCUAUUCAGUCUGCGGCUCACUAUUAAACAUUAGUUAAAGUAUGUAUAUAAAAACAAAACAAAAAAAACUUUCAACAACGGAUCUCUUGGCUCUCGCAUCGAUGAAGAACGCAGCGAAAUGUGAUAAGUAAUGUGAAUUGCAGAAUUCAGUGAAUCAUCGAAUCUUUGAACGCACCUUGCGCUCUCUGGUAUUCCGGAGAGCAUGUCUGUUUGAGUGUCAUGAACUCUUCAACCUACCGAUUUCUAGUAAAUCGGAUUAGUGUUUGGAUUUUGAACGCUUGCUGGCCUUUAUUGGCGAAGCUCGUUCGUAAAUGAUUAGCAUCUCAUAUUCGAAAAUCGGAUUGACUCAGUGUAAUAGACUAUUCGCUGAGGACGCUCUUUCGGGAGUGGCCGAGUUUUGUAAAGUAGAAGCUUCUAAUUCUAUUAGUCAACUUUAGAUUAGACCUCAGAUCAGGCAGGAUUACCCGCUGAACUUAAGCAUAUCAAUAAGCGGAGGA